Non-coding RNA from Meleagris gallopavo (turkey), 1309 nucleotides. The record is from RefSeq and is a predicted model, not a curated record. NCBI's taxonomy places the organism in Eukaryota, Metazoa, Chordata, Aves, Galliformes, Phasianidae.
GGAUUUUUGUUUGUUUUUAGAAGGAAUCCCAGAAGAGUCUUGCUAUUAUUUAUCAAUAAAACAGUAACAAAAUAAACACCCUAUUCCCUCCCACUCACAGGGAGAUUACCUGGAUGCAACAGACCCUCAGCUUACUUCCAGUAUGUGUCAGAACAUUUAAAGCAAGCAUCAGUGUUAGAAGAGAACAGAGAAGAAAGAACAGUGAAGACCAGCAAACAGCUAUAGAACCAGUCAUUAACACUGGGGGGAAGAACUCACCUCCUUGUUCAUCCAGCAUGGUGAUAGUCUUGAUGCCAACAUCAUGGGACUGCACAAAGAAAGUUAUUUGGUGAUACAAAGCCAUUUCAAUACACCAGUGCAAAAUCAAAAUGUCUCCAAAAUAAGUUUGACAAGUUCAAACAGGUUUGUAAUAAAAUACAGUGCUAUGGAAUAGCUUCUACAGUAAAGUUAUACUAAACUUCAAAUUUGAUCUUGCUAGGCUGACAACGUUCUUAUCUGUUAUGCUAUCUCACUUAGGAUUUUACUAUUAUUAAAACAAGAUAAAAAUUGAUUACAAUAAUUAAGAUUAAACUAUGUCAAGGGCAAGCUAUAAAAACAGAACCUAGCCAUAUCUUGUUUUAAUAAGUGGCAUUUAGUUCAUUCUUUAUCCCUACAGCUUUCAGUAGGACUGAAAAUUUCUGAAAAUAAAAAGCUUUCUACAGGUUUUUUGUUGGUUUUUGCUUGUUUGUUUGUUUUGUUACAAUGGGAUAUCCAAGUCAUAGAAGCAUAAAGGAACUCAUUGAUAGUAUCAUCUAGAUACACCCGAUAUACAGAUUUGGUUCAAGUAAUGGACAAGGGUGUUAAGAGUUUCCUUAUCAUACCUAACUGCUUUUAAAAUUAUAACUAGGGAACAGAUGGUAAGAAGGUAUAAGCAGAACUACUUUUGCAUAGGAAGAAGCAAAAGCAGCACUGCCCUCUGCUACCCUGCCACACCCUACUAAGCACCACCCUCCCUCUUGAAAACAGGACAGAAAGUGAGAUAGAGGGGAAAAAAACAUUAAUUGUUUUGAGAGCUAAGCAAUGAAGCAGCCAAAGCCAUCUGUCACAGAUGAGUGUUUAUAACUGAUCUGAAACAUCUGGAGAUUUGACCAUUUUGCUUAGAAAGAGAACAGUAAAAAAUAUUGAUUUUGCAACUCAAGCCUAAUUGUUUUCACAUUAUAUGAAGUCACCGUAACUCAAACAUCUCAAAAAAAAAAGUUUGGGAAAAAGAAAAAGCAAUGAAGAUCACUCAGAGUUAAAAUGUUGCUGCUUAUUCAAAUUUAUACAUCCC